CUCUCCUAACAAGACCAGGUUUUCUCCAGAAGGUUUGCCAGUUAUCUCUGAAGCCCACAUCGUUUCUUGGACACCACUCAGACAGCCAGUGUAACGAUGUCAAAGAAUUAACAUGGUUUUGUUAUGUUUAAAUUCCUGUUAAACUUGGGAUCGCAACCAUGGAUUUAUUUUGAAUGAUUUGGUUCUGAAACUUUUAUUUUGAAAAUCCACAACGGAAGUCUGCUACUGGUAAACUGGUUUUCCCAAAGCUUAUCCGUUUAGUAGCAACGAAAGUAACUGAGUAGAUUUCGGUUUUAUGAUCUUGUUUUGAAAUUAAUGGGUUAGACGGUAGAACAAAAAUGGACACGCUGAGCUAGCGGCUAACAGCUAGAGGAGACUGUUGUGUCUAAUAAUUUGAAACUUCCUUUGAUAGUUUGGGCGGAAUCCUGUUGCUGGAAACCCGUGGUUAUUCAUGUCCCAUGUUAUUGCAGAGACCCUCAAAAGGGGGAAUAAACCACACCUGAGCUCUACCCAUCUCGAGUCCAGAGAGUUUUACUCAUACAGCACCAGAAAUAGACACUGAGAGGGGUUACACCAGCAAUUUAAGAAGAACAUGCAGCUAAACAUGUCACUCCUUCUCUGAUUGGGGAGGGGACCAUAGAAAACAACAGGCAUCACGGCAGCAUCUUAGUACCAUCUAAGUAUGUUUCUUUAAGUGUGAGGUGAAUGGUGAUAAUGUCAUGUUUGGAGUUGGUUCAAGUGUGGACCCAAAAGCAGACAGAGAAGGAGGCAGAUUGCAAAGUGAAGCAAAACUCAUGAGACAAGAGCUUCCAAAAUAAACCAGGAAAUAACUAAAGCAUGAGAACAUCUUACACGGAGAUGGUGAAUUAACAAAACAGGGAAGGUGGUAUAGACUGAAACAGUGACUAUAAUCAAACUAUAACCAAGAACUAAACCUGCAAAACUGUAAAUAAGAAUAGCCCAAGGAUGAAAACACGAAACUAACCAUGAAUAUUUGCAAUAGAAAACUCCAAAAACUUAAAGCACAAUAACACAGGAUGCCCAAAAAUAAACAUAAAAGCAAAUGACAUGAUUUUAACUAGCUGUCUCUCCAGCAAUAUUUUAUAUUGUGAAUGUAUUGUGGAAGCUGUCCCCAAAUCUUAGAUGAAUUAAUAAGAUGUCAUUAAUACAGCAGUAGGCCCAGGCUAUAACUAAACAAUGGACACACCAUACAGUUUAUCCUACAUACUUUGCUUUGAAAUGACGACUGGUUCAGUUUUGUUGAAUUCCCAUUUCCCGACUCCGCACUCCUUUGCUUGUAUUUCUGAAGAUGUAGAACUGUGAAGAGAGAAUGGGGGGACUGAGAAACAACAAGGGAAAAACAGAAGUGCAAAAUGCUAACCAGUGUCUUAUUUUAAUAAUAUUUUAGUAAUAUCUUUGACAGCCCAUGCUGCUCAUAUGCAGAGGAAUUUGGCUGAAAGUCUUUUCUCCUCAGCGCAUCUCUCCAUCAGUAUUUUCUAACUGUAUCUUUGGGAAAUAUAAAUAUGCAAAACAAGUCCAUCUGAACAACACUAUGCAGGUCUGUGUGUCUUCAUAGCUCCAAAUCAUGUUAACUUAGUGUGUGCAAAGUAACUGGAACAACAGAACAUAGCUGUCAAACAAAACCCAGUCAAACAGACUAUUUAAUAGCCAAAUCUAGAAAUGAACACACACACAAAAUACAGCACUUACUUUCUUUCUAUGUCAAAAUAAAAGCAAUACAAAAACAACGUCUCAUCAUUGCACUGUUUUAUGCUUUAUAUGUAAUAAUGGCCAUAACUCCUAGCAGCUAAUAGCCAUACUUUAGGAUAACCUCUCGAAGUAAAGCUGAAAGUCUGUGCAUAAAUCACAUAUUGACUGAAGAAGUAUGCAUUUAAAUCAGUCAUUUAAUCAAAUCAAAUUUGAUUAUUGGUCACAUUUAAGUAUAAACAGAUAUGAAAGAACGUCCUUGGCUCACACUGGAUGUGCAUGAAGUGUUCUGAAGUCUGCCACAUAUAAAAUAACACAUUUAUGCUUUUCACCUGUCUCUUGGUGUGAUUUCCUGCUGUCUCGACGUAAAGACAAACUUACACGUCUUUGUUUCAGAGGAUCUCCAACACCGUCUGGGUUUACAGCUGUGUCAUCCAGAAAACCACAGUUUGUGUCCCCAUCUGAGCUUUUAUUCUGCCCGUGAGUUUCGUUUUGAGUCGCUGUAACGGGACAUGUUAUGUCCCGUGUGCUUUUUUGUGCUUUUUUUAAACUUAAUGUUUUGGGGUUGUUUCACCAGCUAUUUAUUUCCGCUUUCAGAGUUAGUCAUUUGAGCUGUUUGCAAAGGUCGAGGCAUGUAAGGGCUUAGAAACGUGACAAUGAAAACAAAUGUUGACUUUUCAGAUUAAAGAUAUUUUCACUUGGAUUAUUCCACCAGGCUACUCUCACAGUGGUACAUCCCAUCUUCCCAAUAUAGAAAAGUUACGAGUUUUCUGAGAAAUUUUGUUGAAAUGUCCCUAAUUUAUGGUUGACCAUAAAACGACAAUGAUGCAUUGUCAAGAGAUGUAUUCUAUGACACUUCUUCAGCUGAGAAUCAAAGAGGAGAAACACACACACGCUGCAGUUUUUACUUGUAAGAGCAGUCACAGAGAACUCACACGAGAGUGGGGGCCUUGUGAAGUGCGCUCUGCUCCUGCUCUGAUCUUUAUUUAUACAACAGUAGGUGCAUUUGUUCAUGACAUUGGAAUGUGGAUGUGUAUAUGUGUGUGUGUGUGCCAGGAGAGGCUUCUCUUCCUGGUACGAAGUGAAACUGCUUGCUCAGUUCUUAUCUAUCACUAGCAGGAACUGCUCCUUCCCUGCAUGAUAACGGGUCACAGAAAAAAACAACAGUCUGAGUCAUAAAGCGGUCAUCAUGCAGUAUUCUAUCUUUCGCAGACUUAUAUUAUUAAAAGAUUAUACUGACUACUAAGUACAAUUUUCUAUUGACAUGCAUAUUAAGUAGAAAAUCUUGAAUGAAUAAAUGAGUAUAAAAGUUUGUUAUGUUUUUUUUUUCUCAUUAGAUUUAUUCACUUUUUGCUUUUGGUUUUUUCUUUUGUAGAUGGAGUGACUGAGCAGAUGGGCUGAGUGGUCCUCUCCAUUACAGAUGUGAUCCAGACCAGUUGGAGACAGAAUAUCAUACAAUUUAAAAAAAAGAAAAACAACACCAACAAAACAAACAAAAACAAAAUUCUAAACUUUUAAUAUUGAUUUAAUAAAAUGAAUAAACCUGUCAUUUUAAUGCAAAGCUGCCUCUUGUUAUUUACAUUUUAGAAUCCUAAUGUUUAUUGGUAAGGUUAAAAAGGUUACAAAUAUCUGAAAAAACAUCAUCACAACAUUCAUCUUGGCCAUACAUAAAGAAUAACAAUAGUUUAAAGUUUUAUUAGUAAUUUGCUGUGUAUCAGCAGAAAUACCACUGAAGUCUUACUUCCCCUUAGCAGUGACCUCGCUGCUGUUUCAGUAUUGCGUUAGGGUGCAAAUAUGAUCAAGAAUCAAUGUCAGACUUCAACAUAUAUAUUCAGUUAAAUUCAGUGAUGGGAAUAACAGUGUUACCUUUUUCAGUAACAAGUAAUCUAACUAAUUACUAUUUCUAUCGUUACAACGCCAUUACCGUUACUAACAAGAAACUCGACCACUUCAAGAUGACACAGCAACAAGGUGCUAUAUACCAUUUUUUAAAUUGUGUUGAUAGGCCACGUAAAACCAGAGUCAUGAUAAACAAUAUAAUACGUGGUGUUUUUUCCUGAAUACUUUUGUCAUGUUUACUGUCCAAGGGCAGCACUAGCAAGCACUCUCUGCUUAUGGCCAAAAAUAAAAACAUAAAACAAAACAAAAGACACCCCUUUCAUGUUGGUGGAAAAAUGUACCAUGUCCACCAAUCAAAAAAUGAUAUGGCAACAUGACAUUUGGUCGAGAGAGAAAGAGCGAAAAGAAAGAGAGAGAGCGACUUUUGAGAUGUCUUGUGUAGUUAGUGUGUAGUGUAGUGGAUAGUUUUGUGUGUCAGAACAAUGAGGCGACUGCUGAAUGUUACAGGUGCUGCUAGAAAGCCACCAAAGGCAGAUUACAGUGUAAACGGUGUCUCCAGGUAGAAAACAGGAGGAGUGAUACACCUGUUGCUGCCAGACCUGCAGGCUGUGAUGUUCUCCUUUAUAGUCGACAGAAAUUCUUUUUUGGAGUGGCACAAAUAAUUUGUGUGGCAUCUUAUUUAAUGCAGAAUACCUGAUUGUUAUGUAAAUAGUUUGAAAUGGCUGCAAAUAACUUUGUUUGCAAAACUUGUGCAUAGG
Molecule: long non-coding RNA, 4304 nt
Organism: Oreochromis aureus
Lineage: Eukaryota; Metazoa; Chordata; Actinopteri; Cichliformes; Cichlidae
Source: Ensembl